This 63-nucleotide transfer RNA is filed under the name Thalassospira sp. RNAcentral's name for it is "tRNA-Thr". It matches the Rfam family "tRNA", at positions 1 to 61 of the family's 71-position model. Rfam says of the family: Transfer RNA (tRNA) molecules are approximately 80 nucleotides in length. Their secondary structure includes four short double-helical elements and three loops (D, anti-codon, and T loops). Further hydrogen bonds mediate the characteristic L-shaped molecular structure. tRNAs have two regions of fundamental functional importance: the anti-codon, which is responsible for specific mRNA codon recognition, and the 3' end, to which the tRNAs corresponding amino acid is attached (by aminoacyl-tRNA synthetases). tRNAs cope with the degeneracy of the genetic code in two manners: having more than one tRNA (with a specific anti-codon) for a particular amino acid; and 'wobble' base-pairing, i.e. permitting non-standard base-pairing at the 3rd anti-codon position. Lineage: Bacteria; Pseudomonadati; Pseudomonadota; Alphaproteobacteria; Rhodospirillales; Thalassospiraceae. The record is from RNAcentral.
GCUGAUGUAGCUCAGCUGGUAGAGCGGCGCAUUCGUAAUGCGUAGGUCGUAGGUUCAAAUCCU